Molecule: ribosomal RNA, 1438 nt
Filed under: uncultured bacterium
Lineage: Bacteria
Description: bacterial SSU rRNA
Rfam family: Bacterial small subunit ribosomal RNA
Source: RNAcentral
AGAGUUUGAUCCUGGCUCAGAACGUACGCUGGCGGCACGCCUAACACAUGCAAGUCGAACGAAGUAGCAAUACUUAGUGGCAGACGGGUGAGUAACAUGUGGGUAUCUGCCCUUUGGCCUGGAAUAACACGAGGAAACUUGUGCUAAUACUGGAUAAGUCUUUACGGAGAAAGCUUUAUGCACCAUUGGAUGAGCCCGCACUUGAUUAGUUUGUUGGUGGGGUAAUGGCCUACCAAGACUGUGAUCAAUAGCUGAUUUGAGAGGAUGAUCAGCCACAUUGGGACUGAGACACGGCCCAAACUCCUACGGGAGGCAGCAGUGGGGAAUCUUGCACAAUGGAGGAAACUCUGAUGCAGCGAUGCCGCGUGAGUGAAGAAGGCCCUUGGGUUGUAAAGCUCUUUCGUCGGGGAAGAAAAUGACUGUACCCGAAUAAGAAGGUCCGGCUAACUUCGUGCCAGCAGCCGCGGUAAUACGAAGGGACCUAGCGUAGUUCGGAAUUACUGGGCUUAAAGAGUUCGUAGGUGGUUGAAAAAGUUGGUGGUGAAAUCCCAGAGCUUAACUCUGGAACUGCCAUCAAAACUUUUCAGCUAGAGUUGAUAGAGGAAAGCAGAAUUUCUAGUGUAGAGGUGAAAUUCGUAGAUAUUAGAAAGAAUACCAAUUGCGAAGGCAGCUUUCUGGAUCAUUACUGACACUGAGGAACGAAAGCAUGGGUAGCGAAGAGGAUUAGAUACCCUCGUAGUCCAUGCCGUAAACGAUGUGUGUUAGACGUUGGAAAUUUAUUUUCAGUGUCGCAGCGAAAGCGAUAAACACACCGCCUGGGGAGUACGACCGCAAGGUUAAAACUCAAAUGAAUUGACGGGGACCCGCACAAGUAGUGGAGCAUGUGGUUUAAUUCGAAGAUACGCGCAGAACCUUACCAACACUUGACAUGUUCGUCGCGACUUUAAGAGAUUAAAGUUUUCGGUUCGGCCGGACGAAACACAGGUGCUGCAUGGCUGUCGUCAGCUCGUGUCGUGAGAUGUUGGGUUAAGUCCCGCAACGAGCGCAACCCUCACUUUUAGUUGCCAUCAUUUAGUUGGGCACUCUGAAAGAACUGCCAGUGAUAAGCUGGAGGAAGGUGGGGAUGACGUCAAGUCCUCAUGGCCCUUACGUGUUGGGCUACACACGUGCUACAAUGGUAUCUACAACAGGAAGCGAAACAGCGAUGUUAAGCAAAUCCUUAAAAGAUACCUCAGUUCGGAUUGCACUCUGCAACUCGAGUGCAUGAAGCUGGAAUUACUAGUAAUCGUGGAUCAGCGUGCCACGGUGAAUGCGUUCCCGGGUCUUGUACACACCGCCCGUCACACCAUGGGAGUUGGUUCUACCUUAAGGCAAGGUUUAAUACCCUUGACCACGGUAUAGUCAGCGACUGGGGUGAAGUCGUAACAAGGUAGCCGUA